RNAcentral lists this ribosomal RNA (2898 nucleotides) under Neisseria gonorrhoeae. RNAcentral's name for it is "23S ribosomal RNA". It matches the Rfam family "Bacterial large subunit ribosomal RNA". The record is from RNAcentral. Lineage: Bacteria; Pseudomonadati; Pseudomonadota; Betaproteobacteria; Neisseriales; Neisseriaceae.
AUAGAGUCAAGUGAAUAAGUGCAUCAGGCGGAUGCCUUGGCGAUGAUAGGCGACGAAGGACGUGUAAGCCUGCGAAAAGCGCGGGGGAGCUGGCAAUAAAGCUAUGAUUCCGCGAUGUCCGAAUGGGGAAACCCACUGCAUUCUGUGCAGUAUCCUAAGUUGAAUACAUAGGCUUAGAGAAGCGAACCCGGAGAACUGAACCAUCUAAGUACCCGGAGGAAAAGAAAUCAACCGAGAUUCCGCAAGUAGUGGCGAGCGAACGCGGAGGAGCCUGUACGUAAUAACUGUCGAGAUAGAAGAACAAGCUGGGAAGCUUGACCAUAGCGGGUGACAGUCCCGUAUUCGAAAUCUCAACAGCGGUACUAAGCGUACGAAAAGUAGGGCGGGACACGUGAAAUCCUGUCUGAAUAUGGGGGGACCAUCCUCCAAGGCUAAAUACUCAUCAUCGACCGAUAGUGAACCAGUACCGUGAGGGAAAGGCGAAAAGAACCCCGGGAGGGGAGUGAAACAGAACCUGAAACCUGAUGCAUACAAACAGUGGGAGCGCCCUAGUGGUGUGACUGCGUACCUUUUGUAUAAUGGGUCAACGACUUACAUUCAGUAGCGAGCUUAACCGGAUAGGGGAGGCGUAGGGAAACCGAGUCUUAAUAGGGCGAUGAGUUGCUGGGUGUAGACCCGAAACCGAGUGAUCUAUCCAUGGUCAGGUUGAAGGUGCCGUAACAGGUACUGGAGGACCGAACCCACGCAUGUUGCAAAAUGCGGGGAUGAGCUGUGGGUAGGGGUGAAAGGCUAAACAAACUCGGAGAUAGCUGGUUCUCCCCGAAAACUAUUUAGGUAGUGCCUCGAGCAAGACACUGAUGGGGGUAAAGCACUGUUAUGGCUAGGGGGUUAUUGCAACUUACCAACCCAUGGCAAACUCAGAAUACCAUCAAGUGGUUGCUCGGGAGACAGACAGCGGGUGCUAACGUCCGUUGUCAAGAGGGAAACAACCCAGACCGCCGGCUAAGGUCCCAAAUGAUAGAUUAAGUGGUAAACGAAGUGGGAAGGCACAGACAGCCAGGAUGUUGGCUUAGAAGCAGCCAUCAUUUAAAGAAAGCGUAAUAGCUCACUGGUCGAGUCGUCCUGCGCGGAAGAUGUAACGGGGCUCAAAUCUAUAACCGAAGCUGCGGAUGCCGGUUUACCGGCAUGGUAGGGGAGCGUUCUGUAGGCUGAUGAAGGUGCAUUGUAAAGUGUGCUGGAGGUAUCAGAAGUGCGAAUGUUGACAUGAGUAGCGAUAAAGCGGGUGAAAAGCCCGCUCGCCGAAAGCCCAAGGUUUCCUACGCAACGUUCAUCGGCGUAGGGUAAGUCGGCACCUAAGGCGAGGCAGAAAUGCGUAGUCGAUGGGAAACAGGUUAAUAUUCCUGUACUUGAUUCAAAUGCGAUGUGGGGACGGAGAAGGUUAGGUUGGCAAGCUGUUGGAAUAGCUUGUUUAAGCCGGUAGGUGGAAGACUUAGGCAAAUCCGGGUUUUCUUAACACCGAGAAGUGAUGACGAGUGUCUACGGACACGAAGCAACCGAUACCACGCUUCCAGGAAAAGCCACUAAGCUUCAGUUUGAAUCGAACCGUACCGCAAACCGACACAGGUGGGCAGGAUGAGAAUUCUAAGGCGCUUGAGAGAACUCGGGAGAAGGAACUCGGCAAAUUGAUACCGUAACUUCGGGAGAAGGUAUGCCCUCUAAGGUUAAGGACUUGCUCCGUAAGCCCCGGAGGGUCGCAGAGAAUAGGUGGCUGCGACUGUUUAUUAAAAACACAGCACUCUGCCAACACGAAAGUGGACGUAUAGGGUGUGACGCCUGCCCGGUGCCGGAAGGUUAAUUGAAGAUGUGCAAGCAUCGGAUCGAAGCCCCGGUAAACGGCGGCCGUAACUAUAACGGUCCUAAGGUAGCGAAAUUCCUUGUCGGGUAAGUUCCGACCCGCACGAAUGGCGUAACGAUGGCCACACUGUCUCCUCCCGAGACUCAGCGAAGUUGAAGUGGUUGUGAAGAUGCAAUCUACCCGCUGCUAGACGGAAAGACCCCGUGAACCUUUACUGUAGCUUUGCAUUGGACUUUGAAGUCACUUGUGUAGGAUAGGUGGGAGGCUUGGAAGCAGAGACGCCAGUCUCUGUGGAGUCGUCCUUGAAAUACCACCCUGGUGUCUUUGAGGUUCUAACCCAGACCCGUCAUCCGGGUCGGGGACCGUGCAUGGUAGGCAGUUUGACUGGGGCGGUCUCCUCCCAAAGCGUAACGGAGGAGUUCGAAGGUUACCUAGGUCCGGUCGGAAAUCGGACUGAUAGUGCAAUGGCAAAAGGUAGCUUAACUGCGAGACCGACAAGUCGGGCAGGUGCGAAAGCAGGACAUAGUGAUCCGGUGGUUCUGUAUGGAAGGGCCAUCGCUCAACGGAUAAAAGGUACUCCGGGGAUAACAGGCUGAUUCCGCCCAAGAGUUCAUAUCGACGGCGGAGUUUGGCACCUCGAUGUCGGCUCAUCACAUCCUGGGGCUGUAGUCGGUCCCAAGGGUAUGGCUGUUCGCCAUUUAAAGUGGUACGUGAGCUGGGUUUAAAACGUCGUGAGACAGUUUGGUCCCUAUCUGCAGUGGGCGUUGGAAGUUUGACGGGGGCUGCUCCUAGUACGAGAGGACCGGAGUGGACGAACCUCUGGUGUACCGGUUGUAACGCCAGUUGCAUAGCCGGGUAGCUAAGUUCGGAAGAGAUAAGCGCUGAAAGCAUCUAAGCGCGAAACUCGCCUGAAGAUGAGACUUCCCUUGCGGUUUAACCGCACUAAAGGGUCGUUCGAGACCAGGACGUUGAUAGGUGGGGUGUGGAAGCGCGGUAACGCGUGAAGCUAACCCAUACUAAUUGCCCGUGAGGCUUGACUCUAU